CUGAAUUCUGAGUAUAUUCUUCAUCUAGUGAAGCAAUACACCUCAAAAAGAUAUGCAAAACAGUGUUUUUUACUCGGUUCACUGCAAAUAUAAAUCAGCGCCAUUGCAGAAAGUAGUGCUGAUACUUUAUAUCGGAUUAUGUGUUUCAUAUCUUCUGCAAUAUUCUAUAUAAUAAUCGGAUAAUAACAAGAAGAUUGAAUCUUAAGUGUUUGGGUUAGUGGCACAAAUCCUAAACAUUACUAUUGCCAAUGCUAACCGGAUAAUAACAAUAUUUCAGGUCUAACCGGAUACAGUAUAUGAAAUAAACCCAUAUUGGCAAACUAUUAUGUUGGUAUGUUUUGAUGACACAUUCUUUUGUGAUAUUUCUGGCAGUAUUUAUUCGGAGCUAAGUAAUUCGGCUAAGGAAGAGAACCCACAGCCAGCAGUGGAGCAGUUUUUAGCGCUGAAUGCUAGCCUGAGCAGUACCAAGACAAUCGCUGAAUCCUUAUCGAAACCCAUUCCAGACGGUUCAUCUCCAGAUUCUGAAAGGAGCGCAACAGAAGAAGCACUAAAAGUAAAAACCGAUCGACAAAAACAUGCAGCUUCUUGGGUCCAAGCGGCCUUAGCCACGAAUCUAUCACCCUUUGCCGUUUAUACAAAGGAACCUCAAUCAUGCAGGCUUCCAGUUUCAAGCAAUUUUCAAAAUCAAAAGACUAUACCGGGAGGUCAAUACACGUUAGUCCUACACAAUUCAAGUGAAGACGCUUUAACAAAAGCUCCAGCGAAAACUCGCCCGACCACUAAUUCGAAGCAUGCCUCACAGGGAACUGCUCGCAGAACCGACGUGUUAGCGAAUGGGCACAAGCAACAAGUCCAACAGCUCCCGGAAUGGAUUAAAGGAAAUGGCCUCGACGAGGUGGUUAAUUUAGCCGAAAUGCUGCAAUUACAAUCUCGAGACUGGUUUUUGGAAUUCGUUGAGAGAUUCUUGGACACGGACGGUGACACUACCUUGUCAAAUAACGGCCAAAUAGCAGGCAUGCUCACUCAACUAAAGAGCGUAAACGAUUGGUUAGACGAGAUCGGGUCAAGCAAGGAGGAUGACAUAGAAUCAUGUGAGAUAUCAGCGGAGACGAUUGACCGAUUGCGGAAGAAGAUAUACGAGUAUCUUCUUACACAUGUUGAAUCCGCCGCUGCGGCACUAGGUGGUGGACCACAACCAUCACCUCAGAUUUAAACCAAAAGUUGAAUGAGUAUAUAUAGCUUUAGCUUAAGGAUUCCUGAGUAGAAAAAGGUUUCACUCUAAUGAAAACUCCACAUUUUCUUUGUCUUUGCUUGUACAUUGGGGAUUUGAGGUAUAGAACUAUAUAGAUUGAGUGCUAAUUAUUUAUCAAGGGGAAGUAGCCAAUGUGAUUUGUGAGGAUCUUUUUCUACUUUAUUUUUCUAAAAUAUGGAGAUUCCGAGAAGCAUCUAACUUUCGUAUAAGUCGAA
This 1467-nucleotide long non-coding RNA is filed under the name Lupinus mutabilis. Its description in RNAcentral is "partial ncRNA". The record is from RNAcentral. Lineage: Eukaryota; Viridiplantae; Streptophyta; Magnoliopsida; Fabales; Fabaceae.